This 484-nucleotide ribosomal RNA is filed under the name uncultured bacterium. RNAcentral's name for it is "partial 16S ribosomal RNA". It matches the Rfam family "Bacterial small subunit ribosomal RNA", at positions 29 to 507 of the family's 1533-position model. The record is from RNAcentral.
AUUGAACGCUGGCGGCAUGCUUUACACAUGCAAGUCGAACGGCAGCGCGGGCUUCGGCCUGGCGGCGAGUGGCGAACGGGUGAGUAAUACAUCGGAACGCGCCCAGUAGUGGGGGAUAGCUCGGCGAAAGCCGGAUUAAUACCGCAUACGACCUGAGGGUGAAAGCGGGGGAUCUUCGGACCUCGCGCUAUUGGAGCGGCCGAUGGCAGAUUAGCUAGUUGGUGGGGUAAAGGCCUACCAAGGCGACGAUCUGUAGCUGGUCUGAGAGGACGACCAGCCACACUGGGACUGAGACGCGGCCCAGACUCCUACGGGAGGCAGCAGUGGGGAAUUUUGGACAAUGGGCGAAAGCCUGAUCCAGCAAUGCCGCGUGUGUGAUGAAGGCCUUCGGGUUGUAAAGCACUUUUGGCGGGAACGAAAAGGACUGUGCCAAUACCACGGUUCGAUGACGGUACCCGCAGAAUAAGCACCGGCUAACUACGUG